Molecule: non-coding RNA, 111 nt
Organism: Acanthosepion pharaonis
Lineage: Eukaryota; Metazoa; Mollusca; Cephalopoda; Sepiida; Sepiidae
Source: the annotation of a GenBank genome assembly
UUACGGCCAUAUCAUGUUGAAACAUUGGUUCCCGUACGAUCACCGAAGUUAAGCAACAUUGAGAUCGGUCAGUGCUAGAUGCGUGGCCGCUUGGGGAUACCAAGUGGUGUA